AGAAACUUAGGAUAAUACUUUAAACCAGGGGCCUUCAAAGCCCUAAACAAGAGCACCCACCCUCUUAGUUUCUG
This 74-nucleotide transfer RNA is filed under the name Rhineura floridana. Its description in RNAcentral is "tRNA-Trp". Lineage: Eukaryota; Metazoa; Chordata; Lepidosauria; Squamata; Rhineuridae. The record is from RNAcentral.